RNAcentral lists this ribosomal RNA (253 nucleotides) under uncultured bacterium. RNAcentral's name for it is "partial 16S ribosomal RNA". It matches the Rfam family "Bacterial small subunit ribosomal RNA", at positions 524 to 776 of the family's 1533-position model. The record is from RNAcentral.
UACGGGGGGAGCAAGCGUUGUUCGGAUUUACUGGGCGUAAAGCGCACGUAGGCGGAUCGUUAAGUCGGGGGUGAAAUCCUGGAGCUCAACUCCAGAACUGCCUUCGAUACUGGCGAUCUCGAGUCCGGAAGAGGUGAGUGGAACUCCUAGUGUAGAGGUGGAAUUCGUAGAUAUUAGGAAGAACACCAGUGGCGAAGGCGGCUCACUGGUCCGGUACUGACGCUGAGACGCGAAAGCGUGGGGAGCGAACAGG